Cuculus canorus (common cuckoo) is the source of this 1146-nucleotide long non-coding RNA. RefSeq lists it as uncharacterized. The transcript is spliced from 3 exons. The record is from RefSeq and is a predicted model, not a curated record. Lineage: Eukaryota; Metazoa; Chordata; Aves; Cuculiformes; Cuculidae.
GUUUCAUUUAAGAGACUUCAUAUACAUAGGCGCCUUCUAAAUGGCUGAGGAGAACUGGCCCCGAGCAUCCCUCCCUCCGCAGAUGCUCCGGGUGAUAGGAGGCAGCGCAGCCGUGGUUGGCGGCGCCGGCAGCGCGGAAGAUCAAAAUUCUCUCUCCUGCCUCCUGCACGGGAUGCUUCAACAGAAAUUCCGUAUGAAACCUCUCAGUAACACGAGCAAUAUUGACCCCUGCGUUCUUCUCGUGUUUAUACUCACAGAAAGGAAAAAUAGCCAAACAUAAACGUCACUCUGAAGCAGAGACCUUUUGAAUGGCAAAAUCUCACUCCAAAGAAUUUCUGGAAAAUGAAAAUGAAAUGAAAUCUCUUAGCGUUGGUUUAAAAGCCCUCACAAAACGCUUCAGAAUGGAAACUCUUUUGCAUGGCAGCUCUGGCAUGUACUGAUGGUAAAUUGGCGCUUUAUAACAUGUUAUUCCUGCCAGUGUUGAUUACUGUUUUGUCACAAUAGUAACUAACUUUGUAAUUUAAUCUGUCUUGGUAUUGUCAAUCUAAAAUGUUAAGUAUACACUCUGCAUUAUGAAAACCUGUGCUGGGGAGGCUGCCUGUGGCUCUGGAAGUGCCUGAACUGCCAACGGCUGGAGCUGGAGCGGUGCCCCUGCCCGCUGGCCUCGGCUUCGCACCCUGCCCCGCGCACUCCUCGUGGCCACGGCUGGAGUCAGGCAGCGGCCCCGCUUACCUAAAAGAAACUGAGGAAACGCGUAGUUGACUGCGUAAUUAUCCUUUAUGUUAAAUACUUUCCGAUCUAUUAGCUAAUGCUUGUAUUAAUUUGUAAUACUUGAAAAACCUGAUCGGAUCUUGGUUUUUAAUCAAGUUAUCAUUCCAGAAGAGUAGCGCGGUUCUUGUGGAAAUUCUGAAAGCAAGUUACUAAGGAAUCUGACUCAUAAAGCCUCAUGAAAUUUGAAUGUUUAGAAGGGAAAAUGACUGGCAGCUCCUCUUGUAAGCACGCUAGUUGCAAUAAAGUAUAAAAGUUCAACAUCAAAGAGAUCACCGCUUAGUCUGUGGCAUAUUUGUACAUCAAAGAACAAAUACAGGACAAAAAGAACUGUAUAGAGAUACAGUUCAGCCUCGCAGAUGGGUCCCUGUGGAUUGC